UACAACUUUCAGCAACGGAUCUCUUGGCUCUCGCAUCGAUGAAGAACGCAGCGAAAUGCGAUAAGUAAUGUGAAUUGCAGAAUUCAGUGAAUCAUCGAAUCUUUGAACGCACCUUGCGCUCCUUGGUAUUCCGAGGAGCAUGCCUGUUUGAGUGUCAUUAAUAUAUCAA
Molecule: ribosomal RNA, 169 nt
Filed under: Cortinarius pinguis
Lineage: Eukaryota; Fungi; Basidiomycota; Agaricomycetes; Agaricales; Cortinariaceae
Description: 5.8S ribosomal RNA
Rfam family: 5.8S ribosomal RNA
About the family: 5.8S ribosomal RNA (5.8S rRNA) is a component of the large subunit of the eukaryotic ribosome. It is transcribed by RNA polymerase I as part of the 45S precursor that also contains 18S and 28S rRNA.
Source: RNAcentral